Long non-coding RNA from Dinoponera quadriceps, 455 nucleotides. RefSeq lists it as uncharacterized. NCBI's taxonomy places the organism in Eukaryota, Metazoa, Arthropoda, Insecta, Hymenoptera, Formicidae. The record is from RefSeq and is a predicted model, not a curated record. The transcript has 2 exons.
GCACUUGCCGUCUCCGAGCGAGAGAUGCUGAUGCCGCUGAGGUAGCCUGGAGGCUGAUGAUGCGUCGUCUUUGAACGAUAAAAAAACGAUCCUUCGAUCGUGUACACGUAUCGGCAGAAAUAUACAUAUCCGAAUAUGUGAUAAAUGUACCUACUUGGAUCUCUCGGAAUGUACGGAAUGUAAUAUAAGAAAAAAGUGUGGAGAUCUCAGUAAAAGGAUUUUCUAUCGUAAUACGCGAGACUGAGAAAUAUUCCAGCCAAUGCUCGGUCGAUCCUUAGAGCACCUUUUCCACAAGAUCCUACCGACGUGAGAGAAUUGACCGUAACGGCAUGUAUACAUCAAUAUAUGGAUUAUGUAUUUAUCUCGAUAUAUAGAAUACACUUUGCAAUCUGGGUUAAAUAGACGAUGAGUCUUGGUCGUUUGGAGAGGCUCGCGCGGCACUUUGGAAUGACGGA